AGAGAUCACUGACCAAUUCACUUGUUGGUUAUUUAUUAUUAGACUGACCAAUAAUUUUCUUACCCAGAAGCCAUUCUCUUGGAAUUUUUAAUUGUCAUACAACAUACCCUUCACAAAAUGAAUGGACUGCAUUCAUCAAGGACCUUUUAUCAACCCUUCCUAAGGGAGAAAACCUUAAUAACAACAACAAAGUUUACAGUUCCAGAAUUUUGACUUACCCUGGACACAUGGUUUUUCCUCACUUACAAGCCUCCUUCAGUUUCUAG
RNAcentral lists this long non-coding RNA (266 nucleotides) under Monodelphis domestica (gray short-tailed opossum). RNAcentral's name for it is "lncRNA (ENSMODG00000046066.1)". The record is from RNAcentral. Lineage: Eukaryota; Metazoa; Chordata; Mammalia; Didelphimorphia; Didelphidae.